This 429-nucleotide ribosomal RNA is filed under the name Bacteroidota bacterium. RNAcentral describes it as "Bacteroidetes bacterium partial 16S ribosomal RNA". It matches the Rfam family "Bacterial small subunit ribosomal RNA", at positions 355 to 776 of the family's 1533-position model. Lineage: Bacteria; Pseudomonadati; Bacteroidota. The record is from RNAcentral.
UAGGGAAUCUUCCGCAAUGGGCGAAAGCCUGACGGAGCAACGCCGCGUGAGUGAUGAAGGUCUUCGGAUCGUAAAACUCUGUUAUUAGGGAAGAAUAAAUGUGUAAGUAACUAUGCACGUCUUGACGGUACCUAAUCAGAAAGCCACGGCUAACUACGUGCCAGCAGCCGCGGUAAUACGUAGGUGGCAAGCGUUAUCCGGAAUUAUUGGGCGUAAAGCGCGCGUAGGCGGUUUUUUAAGUCUGAUGUGAAAGCCCACGGCUCAACCGUGGAGGGUCAUUGGAAACUGGAGAACUUGAGUGCAGAAGAGGAAAGUGGAAUUCCAUGUGUAGCGGUGAAAUGCGCAGAGAUAUGGAGGAACACCAGUGGCGAAGGCGACUUUCUGGUCUGUAACUGACGCUGAUGUGCGAAAGCGUGGGGAUCAAACAGG